AGAGUUUGAUCCUGGCUGAGAACGAACGCUGGCGGCAGGCCUAACACAUGCAAGUCGAGCGCGCCUUCGGGCGAGCGGCGGACGGGUUAGUAACGCGUGGGAACGUGCCCAGAUCUACGGAAUAGCCACUGGAAACGGUGAGUAAUACCGUAUACGCCCUUCGGGGGAAAGAUUUAUCGGAUCUGGAUCGGCCCGCGUUAGAUUAGGUAGUUGGUGGGGUAACGGCCUACCAAGCCUACGAUCUAUAGCUGGUUUUAGAGGAUGAUCGACAACACUGGGACUGAGACACGGCCCAGACUCCUACGGGAGGCAGCAGUGGGGAAUCUUGGACAAUGGGGGCAACCCUGAUCCAGCCAUGCCGCGUGAGUGAAGAAGGCCCUAGGGUCGUAAAACUCUUUCGCCUGUGAUGAUAAUGACAGUAGCAGGUAAAGAAACCCCGGCUAACUCCGUGCCAGCAGCCGCGGUAAUACGGAGGGGGUUAGCGUUGUUCGGAAUUACUGGGCGUAAAGCGCACGUAGGCGGAUUAGAAAGUUAGAGGUGAAAUCCCGGGGCUCAACCCCGGAACUGCCUUUAAAACUACUAGUCUAGAGUUCGAGAGAGGUGAGUGGAAUUCCGAGUGUAGAGGUGAAAUUCGUAGAUAUUCGGAGGAACACCAGUGGCGAAGGCGGCUCACUGGCUCGAUACUGACGC
Molecule: ribosomal RNA, 690 nt
Filed under: uncultured bacterium
Lineage: Bacteria
Description: bacterial SSU rRNA
Rfam family: Bacterial small subunit ribosomal RNA
Source: RNAcentral